This is a non-coding RNA of Ictidomys tridecemlineatus (thirteen-lined ground squirrel), 1380 nucleotides long. The record is from RefSeq and is a predicted model, not a curated record. Lineage: Eukaryota; Metazoa; Chordata; Mammalia; Rodentia; Sciuridae.
UCCAUCUGGUUCUAAAUCCUGUUUUGUAUCUGAGAGACUCGGGGCCAGAGUGACCCAAGUCACUCAAUAAGUUAACUCCUGAGCCCAGAUAAGAGUCUAAAUGUUUUCACUCACAUGUCAGUGCUCAUCCUCUUAAAAUUAAAUAUUAACCCCUUGACAUAUGAGAAUUCUGUAAAUGUUCAAUAAAAACAAGAGCAAAGGAAGAUAAACAGACCAAAAGAAAGGUAGAAAGCACAUGCCUAGAGCAAUAUACCAAGAGCAAAAGUCUUGCUUCACCCUCCUUGUGACCAGCCAUCAUACAGAUGUCCCCACAAAGAUCUUGAGGACCACUCACAGGGAUCUGCAUAUAACAGAACCUCUGCUCUGUUCAACGUAUGCCAUCCACUGAGGUUUACCCAGAGAUGGAUGUCACCAAGGAAUCUCUGCCCAAGAGACCACGCUUUGUCUUGGUUGAAGCAUCUACUUUGAAGCUCUGUCCUUCUAUUUCAUGAACUCAGCCAGAUUUCUGUGCUUCUCUUUCUUAGAGUCAACUCUGAAGACCUAAGACCUAAAUUUCUUGGCCCUACACUGGACCUCGUCGAUCAGUCCCUGAGACAAAGACAAAACAGUCCAAAGCAAAACAAACCAGCCCAUUGACUAAGUAUUAAGAUGAAUUCCCUGCAAAGUUUCCCUAACUCGAAGGCCCCCACAGAUCACCUAUAAAAUAGUUCCCCAAUUCCCUUGGUUAUAAUCCUGUGCCUAAUUUUUUGUAGUCACGUCUUAAGAAAAGUUCCAGAUUAUGAACUUCCAGAAAAGCAGAUUUCUAGCUCUGGUGUGACAAUUUCUAACUGUACAAGGUUGGAUAAGUUAUCUAAUUCCCAGCCCAAUUGAAUUCUCAGCCCAUGAAGAUGGGGAUAUUGUAUACUACAUAAAAUUUCUGGGAUGAUCCAAAGAUCUAAGAGGGACAAGUGGCGAUGAAGAUGGAGAGGGAGGCGGGAUCACACUCAAAGUCAGAUCAUCACUGAGGAACUGGCAUGAACAACGUCUUCUACUUAGCUUCUGCCUUCCAUUGAUUUUUCCAUGUGGAUUCUCAAGUUUUUGAUUUUAUAUGCUAGCUUGAAGAAAUGUGGAAUAUUUUAAUUUACAGUUGAAGAACAUGGUUUUAAACAGAAAAGUGCCAUUUUAGGACCAGUCAGUUCUAUGACAUAAAUCAUCAAUGCGUUGAUUUCUUUUCCUUUGCCAGUUCCAACGGCAAGAACACUAAACAAGCACCAGAGGGCGCCAUUCUCCCAUGAAAACCAACUCACAGAGCAACUGGAGAUGGAGGCUUCUUUUGUGUUUAUACAGAAGUUCCUUUCACAUUUAAUUCCUUUUGCAUUUAAACAAGGAUUUUGCAUUUGU